RNAcentral lists this ribosomal RNA (461 nucleotides) under uncultured beta proteobacterium. Its description in RNAcentral is "bacterial SSU rRNA". It matches the Rfam family "Bacterial small subunit ribosomal RNA", at positions 200 to 642 of the family's 1533-position model. The record is from RNAcentral. Lineage: Bacteria; Pseudomonadati; Pseudomonadota; Betaproteobacteria.
AGGAAAGCAGGGGAUCGCAAGACCUUGCGCUUUUGGAGCGGCCGAUGUCUGAUUAGCUAGUUGGUGAGGUAAAGGCUUACCAAGGCUUCGAUCAGUAGCUGGUCUGAGAGGACGACCAGCCACACUGGGACUGAGACACGGCCCAGACUCCUACGGGAGGCAGCAGUGGGGAAUUUUGGACAAUGGGGGAAACCCUGAUCCAGCCAUGCCGCGUGAGUGAAGAAGGCCUUCGGGUUGUAAAGCUCUUUCAGCCGGAACGAAACGGUCACGGCUAAUACCCGUGAUCACUGACGGUACCGGAAGAAGAAGCACCGGCUAACUACGUGCCAGCAGCCGCGGUAAUACGUAGGGUGCGAGCGUUAAUCGGAAUUACUGGGCGUAAAGCGUGCGCAGGCGGUUUUGUAAGUCAGAUGUGAAAUCCCCGGGCUCAACCUGGGAACUGCGUUUGAAACUACAAGGCU